CAGUCGCCGCGGGAAUACGUAGGUGGCAAGCGUUGUCCGGAAUUAUUGGGCGUAAAGGGCUCGCAGGCGGUUUCUUAAGUCUGAUGUGAAAGCCCCCGGCUCAACCGGGGAGGGUCAUUGGAAACUGGGAAACUUGAGUGCAGAAGAGGAGAGUGGAAUUCCACGUGUAGCGGUGAAAUGCGUAGAGAUGUGGAGGAACACCAGUGGCGAAGGCGACUCUCUGGUCUGUAACUGACGCUGAGGAGCAAAAGCGUGGGGAGCGAACAGGAUUAGAUACCCCGGUAGUCCCUGUCUCUUAUAC
This 301-nucleotide ribosomal RNA is filed under the name uncultured bacterium. Its description in RNAcentral is "partial 16S ribosomal RNA". It matches the Rfam family "Bacterial small subunit ribosomal RNA", at positions 509 to 807 of the family's 1533-position model. The record is from RNAcentral.